Mus musculus (house mouse) is the source of this 631-nucleotide long non-coding RNA. RefSeq annotates it as predicted gene, 51814. The transcript has 4 exons. Lineage: Eukaryota; Metazoa; Chordata; Mammalia; Rodentia; Muridae. The record is from RefSeq and is marked validated.
ACUUUUAACCAGCUAUCAGUCCAGCUUGCUGUUGCUCUUUUAUCUGUAAGUGAGGCAGACUCUGGCCGUUAGGUGGUUGAUACAUUUGAUAAUCUUAAUUAAUUUGUCUACAUUUCCAUAGGACUCAAGACUCGAAAACAGAAAAGAGAGGAGAGGAAGAAACCUUCACAGGAGCUUAACCGGGUAGAGGGCAUCUAAGCCCAGCGCCUAUAUUUGCAGUACAGAGGAUGCAUCUCCUCUGUGAGAAGCCCCCUCUCCCAGAUGGUCAUCACUCCUGAAGCUCCCUUUGGUCUCCCGGAAAAGAAACUCCACUAUUGGACCCAGGUCUUCCAUUCUGCUUUGCCUGAGCUGCGUCUGCUUGCCUGCACAUGUUCUUCUUGAUUAAUGUGUGUCCUCAGCAGUGUGGUCCUAUAGCAAAACUCAGAACAUUGGUGAUGGUUCGGUGCUUCUCUCCUGUGUUCUGCAUGUUCCACAAGGCUGAUUCAGCCCUAAAGACACCACCGAAUUCUAUCAGAAAUUCAGAAAUGAUUAAGAUGUGGAGCCUUCCUAAGUGAAAGUCAGCAGACUAUCUUAGAAAAGUUCAUACAAGACAAUUGCUGUAACUUCGCCUUAAUAAAAUGUUUGAACUUUU